This 271-nucleotide unclassified non-coding RNA is filed under the name uncultured fungus. Its description in RNAcentral is "sequence contains ITS1". The record is from RNAcentral. Lineage: Eukaryota; Fungi.
GUUUUUCAUUUAUUCAUCCUUUUCCAAACACUUUUAAUAUCAGGCAACCACCAAAAUUUGUAAAAAUUUCGUUUCCUUUUUUUUUCUUCCCGAUCAAUAAAAAAAAGAAGGGGUUUCCCUUCUUUUUUUUAUCAACCAAAAAAAAAAAAAAGAGAAACUUUCUUUUUGGGUAUCUAUGUUGUUUGCAAGCCAAAAAAAAUAAUUCCUGGCUUGAGUUUAUAUAAAACCAUUUUUUUCAAUGAUGAUCCUUCCGCAGGUUCACCUACGGAAA